This is a non-coding RNA of Phascolarctos cinereus (koala), 459 nucleotides long. NCBI's taxonomy places the organism in Eukaryota, Metazoa, Chordata, Mammalia, Diprotodontia, Phascolarctidae. The record is from RefSeq and is a predicted model, not a curated record.
UCAAGACGGCUCACUAUGGCUCAGGAUGCAGUGGAUGACCUUGGUAUCUUUGAUGUCUAACCAAGCUCUAAGAGCUUCACAGUGCCUGCCUCAGCCAUCUUUGUAGCCAUUGGAUAAACUGUUCUCAUCUGCCCAUUCCACUGGGGAGUGUUUUCAUAUACUUGAGGUAGAUAACUUUCUGACUCAUCAAUGAAUUUGAGGCCUGUUGGUUACCCUCUCAACUUGGUUUCGCCCAUCUGCUGAGAAAAUUUUACUGAGUUGUGGCCACUGUGCAUGCUACAGCUUCUUGGAACCACAGAGAACUUAUGAUGAAGACAACUACCUAUCUCAUGACAAAGAAAUGAUGGAUCAAAAUGCAGGAUGAGUUAAAUAUUUUUUGGAGUAUGUGGACCUGGAAGCUCAGGAGGCAGCUGCGCUCCACCCAGGGCCACAAUCUGAGGGAAUGGAGCUGAGACCCGG